Long non-coding RNA from Sapajus apella (tufted capuchin), 124 nucleotides. RefSeq lists it as uncharacterized. Lineage: Eukaryota; Metazoa; Chordata; Mammalia; Primates; Cebidae. The record is from RefSeq and is a predicted model, not a curated record. The transcript has 3 exons.
UCCAAUUUGUUUUCAUGCCGCUGACAGAGACAAACCCAAGACUGGGUAAUUGGUAAAGAAAAAGGUUUAGUGAACUCAUAAUUCCACAUGGGUGGGGAGUCCUCACAAUCAUGGCAGAAGGUAA